AACGAACGCUGGCGGCGCGCCUAAUACAUGCAAGUCGAGCGAGAAGGUGUAGCAAUACACUUGUAAAGCGGCGAACGGGUGAGGAAUACAUGGGUAAUCUACCAUCGAGUGGGGAAUAACCAACCGAAAGGUUGGCUAAUACCGCGUACGCCUCCGAGUCUUCGGGUUCGGAGGGAAAGCUGCACUGUGAGUGUAGCGCUCUUUGAUGAGCUCAUGUCCUAUCAGCUUGUUGGUAGGGUAACGGCCUACCAAGGCUUUGACGGGUAGCUGGUCUGAGAGGACGAUCAGCCACACUGGCACUGCGACACGGGCCAGACUCCUACGGGAGGCAGCAGUAAGGAAUAUUGCGCAAUGGGCGAAAGCCUGACGCAGCGACGCCGCGUGGGGGAUGAAGGUCUUCGGAUUGUAAACCCCUUUCGGGAGGGAAGAUGGAGCGAGCAAUCGUUCGGACGGUACCUCCAGAAGCAGCCACGGCCAACUUCGUGC
Molecule: ribosomal RNA, 486 nt
Filed under: uncultured bacterium
Lineage: Bacteria
Description: bacterial SSU rRNA
Rfam family: Bacterial small subunit ribosomal RNA
Source: RNAcentral